This 297-nucleotide ribosomal RNA is filed under the name Triticum aestivum (bread wheat). RNAcentral's name for it is "partial small subunit ribosomal RNA". Lineage: Eukaryota; Viridiplantae; Streptophyta; Magnoliopsida; Poales; Poaceae. The record is from RNAcentral.
AUGAAAAGGAAGGGGGGAACCCCACGCCCUCAACAAUACAUGAAUGCUUUCCAGCAGGCUACAGAGGAUUGUAAUCUGAAUGAUAUGGGAUAUGUGGGGGAUGUGUUUACUUGGCGCAGAGGUAGAAUCCGUGAAAGAUUGGACAGAGGAUUGAUUCCUGCUGAGUGGUCGGCUUUAUUCCCAAACGCAAGUCUGGAACACUGCAACUUUAACCACUCGGAUCAUAGACCCCUCCGGGUUGAUACUGAGUAUUUUCAGGACAUAGCAUCGUGUCAAAGGGGGUCCGAAGAGGUUUGA